CGGACGGGUGAGUAACGCGUGGAAAACCUGCCGUAUACUGGGGGAUAACACUUAGAAAUAGGUGCUAAUACCGCAUAAGCGCACAGCUUCGCAUGAAGUGGUGUGAAAAACUCUGGUGGUAUACGAUGGUUCCGCGUCUGAUUAGCUUGUUGGUGGGGUAAUGGCUCACCAAGGCGACGAUCAGUAGCCGGCCUGAGAGGGUGAACGGCCACAUUGGGACUGAGGCACGGCCCAAACUCCUACGGAAGGCAGCAG
RNAcentral lists this ribosomal RNA (255 nucleotides) under uncultured bacterium. RNAcentral's name for it is "partial 16S ribosomal RNA". It matches the Rfam family "Bacterial small subunit ribosomal RNA", at positions 99 to 354 of the family's 1533-position model. The record is from RNAcentral.